Molecule: ribosomal RNA, 467 nt
Filed under: uncultured bacterium
Lineage: Bacteria
Description: partial 16S ribosomal RNA
Rfam family: Bacterial small subunit ribosomal RNA
Source: RNAcentral
GACGAACGCUGGCGGCGUGCUUAACACAUGCAAGUCGAACGGAAAGGCCCUGCUUUUGUGGGGUGCUCGAGUGGCGAACGGGUGAGUAACACGUGAGUAACCUGCCCUUGACUUUGGGAUAACUUCAGGAAACUGGGGCUAAUACCGGAUAGGAGCUCCUGCUGCAUGGUGGGGGUUGGAAAGUUUCGGCGGUUGGAGAUGGACUCGCGGCUUAUCAGCUUGUUGGUGGGGUAGUGGCUUACCAAGGCUUUGACGGGUAGCCGGCCUGAGAGGGUGACCGGCCACAUUGGGACUGAGAUACGGCCCAGACUCCUACGGGAGGCAGCAGUGGGGAAUAUUGCACAAUGGGCGGAAGCCUGAUGCAGCAACGCCGCGUGCGGGAUGACGGCCUUCGGGUUGUAAACCGCUUUCGCCUGUGACGAAGCGUGAGUGACGGUAAUGGUAAAGAAGCACCGGCUAACUACGUG